UACGGGGGGGGCAAGCGUUGUUCGGAAUUACUGGGCGUAAAGGGCUCGUAGGCGGCCAACUAAGUCAGACGUGAAAUCCCUCGGCUUAACCGGGGAACUGCAUCUGAUACUGGAUGGCUUGAGAUUGGGAGAGGGAUGCGGAAUUCCAGGUGUAGCGGUGAAAUGCGUAGAUAUCCGGAGGAACACCGGUGGCGAAGGCGGCAUCCUGGACCAACACUGACGCUGAGGAGCGAAAGCCAGGGGAGCAAACGGG
This 253-nucleotide ribosomal RNA is filed under the name uncultured bacterium. RNAcentral describes it as "partial 16S ribosomal RNA". It matches the Rfam family "Bacterial small subunit ribosomal RNA", at positions 524 to 776 of the family's 1533-position model. The record is from RNAcentral.